RNAcentral lists this ribosomal RNA (114 nucleotides) under Rhodocyclales bacterium. Lineage: Bacteria; Pseudomonadati; Pseudomonadota; Betaproteobacteria; Rhodocyclales. The record is from RNAcentral.
UCUGGUGCCCACAGCGUCCCGGAACCACCCCUUCCCAUCCCGAACAGGACCGUGAAACAGGAUUGCGCCGAUGAUAUUGCGGAUUGCCCGCGAGAAAGUAGGUCAGCGCCAGAC